CAGUAGCGUAUAUUAAAGUUGUUGCAGUUAAAAAGCUCGUAGUUGGAUUUAUGAUGUGAUGCUCGUAAGCCCACAGUCGUCAAGACUGUGUAGUGCUGAAACAUCCAUCAUCCUUCUAGGGGAAAGGUUGGUUGGGCUGACUCGCUCCGCAAGGGGUUGGGUUGGUUCGGCUUUCCGCUAAUUUCCUUCUAGAUCUUUUACUUUGAAAAAAUUAGAGUGUUUAAAGCAGACUUGCGUUUGAAUACAUUAGCAUGGAAUGAUAAUAUAGGACUAUAAGCCUAUUUUGUUGGUUCAUGGGCAUUUAGUAAUGAUUGAUAGGGAUAGUUGGGGGUGCUAGUACUCAGCGGCCAGAGGUGAAAUUCGUGGAUUCGCUGAAGACUAACUUAUGCGAAAGCAUUCACCAAGGAUGUCUUCUUUAA
RNAcentral lists this ribosomal RNA (419 nucleotides) under uncultured eukaryote. RNAcentral describes it as "partial 18S ribosomal RNA". It matches the Rfam family "Eukaryotic small subunit ribosomal RNA", at positions 592 to 976 of the family's 1831-position model. The record is from RNAcentral.